Molecule: ribosomal RNA, 769 nt
Filed under: anaerobic methanogenic archaeon E15-4
Lineage: Archaea
Description: bacterial SSU rRNA
Rfam family: Archaeal small subunit ribosomal RNA
Source: RNAcentral
UACCUUGGGACGGGUAUAAACCCGGGAAACUGGGUAUAAUACCCGAUAGUCCUCGAAUGCUGGAAUGCAUCGAGGUCGAAAGCUCCGGUGCCCAAGGAUGGGUCUGCGGCCUAUCAGGUAGUAGUGGGUGUAGCGUACCUACUAGCCUACGACGGGUACGGGUUGUGAGAGCAAGAGCCCGGAGAUGGAUUCUGAGACACGAAUCCAGGCCCUACGGGGUGCAGCAGGCGCGAAAACUUUACAAUGCUGGAAACAGCGAUAAGGGAACCUCGAGUGCCAGGUUACAAAUCUGGCUGUCGUGAUGCCUAAAAAGCAUUGCAUAGCAAGGGCCGGGCAAGACCGGUGCCAGCCGCCGCGGUAACACCGGCGGCUCGAGUGGUAACCGUUAUUAUUGGGUCUAAAGGGUCUGUAGCCGGCCGGAUAAGUCUCUUGGGAAAUCUGGCAGCUUAACUGUCAGGCUUUCAGGAGAUACUGUCUGGCUCGAGGCCGGGAGAGGUGAGAGGUACUUCAGGGGUAGGGGUGAAAUCUUGUAAUCCUUGAAGGACCACCAGUGGCGAAGGCGUCUCACCAGAACGGACCUGACGGCAAGGGACGAAAGCUAGGGGCACGAACCGGAUUAGAUACCCGGGUAGUCCUAGCCGUAAACGAUACUCGCUAGGUGUCGGCCACGGUGCGACCGUGGUCGGUGCCGUAGGGAAGCCGUGAAGCGAGCCACCUGGGAAGUACGGCCGCAAGGCUGAAACUUAAAGGAAUUGGCGGGGGAGCACAA